GCUUCCAUGUGUUUAAAAUGGAGGCUGAUGUUGCUCAAGUUGUGGGGCUGUGAUAAGGGUUAAGAAUAACAAUAAACAUCUAUUGAGUAUUUUCCAUACCCUCAGCCCAGUUCUAAACCCUCAUGUGCACUGAUUUAUUGAAUUCUCACAACAACCCUGUGUGGAAGAGUCCUCAGUCACUCAGUCAUGUCUGACUCUCUGCAGCCCCAUGGACUACAGCCUGCCAAACGCCUCUGUCCAUGGGAUUUCCCAGGCAAGAAUACUGGAGUGGGUUAACAUUUCCUCCUCAAGGGAUCUUCCCAACACAGGGAUGGAACCCUCAUCUCUUGAGUCUCCUGCAUUGGCAGAUGAGGAAACAAUGGGAGAGAAAUACCCAAGGUCACACAGCAAAUAGCAGAGCCAGGCUGUUUGACAACAAAGCCAAGUCCUUAAUCUCCACAUUAUACUCACUAUGCAAAUUAUGUUAAAUACCUAUAAUAGGUAACCAGUAGCUGUUACUAGGAACCGGGGUGGGUAGGGCCUGAUUUAUAAGCAAAGUGAAGAGUUAAGUACCUGAACUAAUUAGGUAAACCAAAGGCUGGGCCACUCAGAAGUAUCUUCAGUUCCAUUUGCCAUGGUUUCUCAUUUCUCACUGUCAGUGUCGUUCCUUCAGAGCAGGAAGACACUUCAGGGACAUUUGGCAAUGUCUGGACACAUUUUUGCUUGUCACAACUGUGGGAGUGCUGCUGCUGCUGCUGCUAAGUUGCUUCAGUCGUGUCCGACUCUGUGCGACCCCAUAGACAGCAGCCCACCAGGCUCCCCCAUCCCUGGGAUUCUCCAGGCAAGAACACUGGAGUGGGUUGCCAUUUCCUUCUCCAAUGCAGGAAAGUGAAAAGUGAAAGUGAAGUCGCUACUGGCAUCUAAUGGAACUUUGAUCGGAAGAAGAACCUUCAUGUGUGAAGUACCUGUGAUACUCGGCAGCACAUCCAGCUUUCUUGCGUUGUUGGAGAACACUAUGCCUCACAUCACUAUGACUCGAUUUCCAUCUUAUUGUGCAUUAGCUUCAAAUAUUCAAUAAAUAAUCUGGAAAGGAGUUGUAUCAAUCACUUUAGGCUAGGUUAUGAUGCAAUAACAAAUGAUCCCAGUAG
Molecule: long non-coding RNA, 1127 nt
Organism: Bos taurus (domestic cattle)
Lineage: Eukaryota; Metazoa; Chordata; Mammalia; Artiodactyla; Bovidae
Source: Ensembl